Molecule: ribosomal RNA, 456 nt
Filed under: uncultured Bacteroidales bacterium
Lineage: Bacteria; Pseudomonadati; Bacteroidota; Bacteroidia; Bacteroidales
Description: bacterial SSU rRNA
Rfam family: Bacterial small subunit ribosomal RNA
Source: RNAcentral
GGGCCCGCACAAGCGGAGGAACAUGUGGUUUAAUUCGAUGAUACGCGAGGAACCUUACCCGGGUUUGAACGCAUUUUGACAGGGGUGGAAACAUCUUUUCUAGCAAUAGCAAUUUGCGAGGUGCUGCAUGGUUGUCGUCAGCUCGUGCCGUGAGGUGUCGGCUUAAGUGCCAUAACGAGCGCAACCCUUACCGUUAGUUACCAUCAAGUCAUGUUGGGGACUCUAGCGGGACUGCCAGCGUAAGCUGUGAGGAAGGUGGGGAUGACGUCAAAUCAGCACGGCCCUUACAUCCGGGGCGACACACGUGUUACAAUGGAUGGGACAGAGGGCAGCCACUUGGUGACAAGGAGCCAAUCCCCUUAAAACCCAUUCUCAGUUCGGAUCGAAGUCUGCAACCCGACUUCGUGAAGCUGGAUUCGCUAGUAAUCGCGCAUCAGCCAUGGCGCGGUGAAUACG